Molecule: ribosomal RNA, 460 nt
Filed under: uncultured bacterium
Lineage: Bacteria
Description: bacterial SSU rRNA
Rfam family: Bacterial small subunit ribosomal RNA
Source: RNAcentral
CCUACGGGUGGCUGCAGUGAGGAAUAUUGGACAAUGGGCGCAAGCCUGAUCCAGCCAUGCCGCGUGCAGGAUGACGGUCCUAUGGAUUGUAAACUGCUUUUGCACAGGAAGAAACACUACUUCGUGAAGUAGCUUGACGGUACUGUGAGAAUAAGGAUCGGCUAACUCCGUGCCAGCAGCCGCGGUAAUACGGAGGAUCCAAGCGUUAUCCGGAAUCAUUGGGUUUAAAGGGUCCGUAGGCGGUUUAGUAAGUCAGUGGUGAAAGCCCAUCGCUCAACGGUGGAACGGCCAUUGAUACUGCUAAACUUGAAUUAUUAGGAAGUAACUAGAAUAUGUAGUGUAGCGGUGAAAUGCUUAGAGAUUACAUGGAAUACCAAUUGCGAAGGCAGGUUACUACUAAUGGAUUGACGCUGAUGGACGAAAGCGUGGGUAGCGAACAGGAUUAGAUACCCUGGUAGUC